This 396-nucleotide ribosomal RNA is filed under the name uncultured bacterium. Its description in RNAcentral is "partial 16S ribosomal RNA". It matches the Rfam family "Bacterial small subunit ribosomal RNA", at positions 338 to 731 of the family's 1533-position model. The record is from RNAcentral.
CCUACGGGAGGCAGCAGUGAGGAAUAUUGGUCAAUGGUCGGGAGACUGAACCAGCCAAGCCGCGUGAGGGAUGAAGGUACAGAGUAUCGUAAACCUCUUUUGUAAGGGAAUAAAGGCGGGGACGUGUCCCCGUAUGCGUGUACUUGAAGAAAAAGCAUCGGCUAACUCCGUGCCAGCAGCCGCGGUAAUACGGAGGAUGCGAGCGUUAUCCGGAUUUAUUGGGUUUAAAGGGUGCGGAGACGGGGUGUUAAGUCAGGGGUCAAAGCCCGGGGCCCAACCCCCGGACGGCCUUUGAUCCUGGCAGUCUGGAGUUGAGGAGAGGUAGGCGGAAUUCGCGGUGUAGCGGUGAAAUGCGUAGAUAUCACGAAGAACUCCGAUGGCGAAGGCAGCCUGCUG